AGCAGCCGCGGUAAUUCCAGCUCCAAUAGCGUAUAUUAAAGUUGUUGCAGUUAAAAAGCUCGUAGUUGAAUUUCGGGAUUGACACAUCGGUCGUGCCUUAAGGGGUAUAAACUGGUGUAGUCAAUUUCUCACCUUCUGGAGAACCGCGAUGCCCUUAAUUGGGUGUCGCGGGGAACCAGGACCUUUACUUUGAAAAAAUUAGAGUGUUUAAAGCAGGCAUUUUGCUUGAAUACAUUAGCAUGGAAUAAUAAAAUAGGACGGCAUGAUUCUAUUUUGUUGGUUUCUAGGAUCACCGUAAUGAUUAAUAGGGAUAGUUGGGGGCAUUAGUAUUCAAUUGUCAGUGGUGAAAUUCUUGGAUUUAUUGAAGACUAACUACUGCGAAAGCAUUUGCCAAGGAUGUUUUCAUUAAUCAAGAACGAAAGUUAGGGGAUCGAAGACGAUCAGAUACCGUCGUAGUCUUAACCAUAAACUAUGCCGACUAGGAAUCAGACGAUGUUAAUUUUUAAUGUACUCGUUUGGC
This 520-nucleotide unclassified non-coding RNA is filed under the name uncultured Entrophospora. RNAcentral's name for it is "SSU rRNA". It matches the Rfam family "Eukaryotic small subunit ribosomal RNA", at positions 569 to 1084 of the family's 1831-position model. The record is from RNAcentral. Lineage: Eukaryota; Fungi; Glomeromycota; Glomeromycetes; Entrophosporales; Entrophosporaceae.